CAACUUUCAACAAUGGAUCUCUUGGCUCUCGCAUCGAUGAAGAACGCAGCGAAAUGCGAUACGUAAUGUGAAUUGCAGAAUUCCGUGAAUCAUUGAAUCUUUGAACGCACCUUGCGCCCUUUGGUAUUCCGAAGGGCAUGCCUGUUUGAGUGUCAU
RNAcentral lists this ribosomal RNA (156 nucleotides) under Hygrocybe quieta. RNAcentral describes it as "5.8S ribosomal RNA". It matches the Rfam family "5.8S ribosomal RNA". Rfam says of the family: 5.8S ribosomal RNA (5.8S rRNA) is a component of the large subunit of the eukaryotic ribosome. It is transcribed by RNA polymerase I as part of the 45S precursor that also contains 18S and 28S rRNA. Lineage: Eukaryota; Fungi; Basidiomycota; Agaricomycetes; Agaricales; Hygrophoraceae. The record is from RNAcentral.